Molecule: ribosomal RNA, 321 nt
Filed under: uncultured bacterium
Lineage: Bacteria
Description: bacterial SSU rRNA
Rfam family: Bacterial small subunit ribosomal RNA
Source: RNAcentral
GACGAACGCUGGCGGCGUGCCUAACACAUGCAAGUCGUGCGAGAACGGUUCCUUCGGGAACUCAGUAGAGCGGCGAACGGGUGAGUAACACGUGAGCGAUCUGCCCAAGGGUGGGGGAUAGCCCAGGGAAACCUGGAUUAAUACCGCGUACAGCGCUGGGAUUAGAUACCCAGUGUGAAAGCUGGCCUCUUUACAAUGCUAGCGCCUUUGGAUGAGCUCGCGGCCUAUCAGCUUGUUGGUGGGGUAAUGGCCUACCAAGGCUUUGACGGGUAGCUGACGUGAGAGCGUGAUCAGCCACAUUGGGACUGAGACACGGCCCAG